CGCUAGCUACAGGCUUAACACAUGCAAGUCGAGGGGCAGCACAGUGUAGCAAUACAUGGGUGGCGACCGGCGCACGGGUGCGUAACGCGUAUCCAACCUUCCCGUUACUCUUGGAUAGCCUUCCGAAAGGGAGGUUAAUACAAGAUGGUAUUCAAAUUCCGCAUGUUAUUUGAAUUAAAGAUUUAUCGGUAACGGAUGGGGAUGCGUGACAUUAGAUAGUAGGCGGGGUAACGGCCCACCUAGUCUACGAUGUCUAGGGGUUCUGAGAGGAAGGUCCCCCACACUGGAACUGAGACACGGUCCAGACUCCUACGGGAGGCAGCAGUGAGGAAUAUUGGUCAAUGGUCGGAAGACUGAACCAGCCAAGUAGCGUGAAGGAUGAAGGUUCUAUGGAUUGUAAACUUCUUUUAUACGGGAAUAAAACCUCCCACGUGUGGGAGCUUGUAUGUACCGUAUGAAUAAGCAUCGGCUAACUCCGUGCCAGCAGCCGCGGUAAUACGGAGGAUGCGAGCGUUAUCCGGAUUUAUUGGGUUUAAAGGGAGCGUAGACGGGAGAUUAAGUCAGUUGUGAAAGGCUGCGGCUCAACCGCAGCACUGCAGUUGAUACUGGUUUCCUUGAGUGCGGUUGAGGUGUAUGGAAUUCGUGGUGUAGCGGUGAAAUGCUUAGAUAUCACGAAGGACUCCGAUUG
This 688-nucleotide ribosomal RNA is filed under the name uncultured Bacteroidales bacterium. RNAcentral describes it as "bacterial SSU rRNA". It matches the Rfam family "Bacterial small subunit ribosomal RNA", at positions 34 to 715 of the family's 1533-position model. Lineage: Bacteria; Pseudomonadati; Bacteroidota; Bacteroidia; Bacteroidales. The record is from RNAcentral.